AGAGAGGUGGCCGAGCGGUCGAAGGCGCACGCCUGGAAAGUGUGUAUACGUUAAAAGCGUAUCGAGGGUUCGAAUCCCUUCCUCUCUG
RNAcentral lists this transfer RNA (88 nucleotides) under Flavobacteriaceae bacterium. It matches the Rfam family "tRNA". From Rfam's summary of the family: Transfer RNA (tRNA) molecules are approximately 80 nucleotides in length. Lineage: Bacteria; Pseudomonadati; Bacteroidota; Flavobacteriia; Flavobacteriales; Flavobacteriaceae. The record is from Rfam by way of RNAcentral.